AGUACUUGACAAACAAAAAAUAUAGAAUUUAAAGAAAAAAAGCUUUGGUAUUCCUAUAAAUAGUAUCUUUGGCCUGUUGAUGUGUCAGCAAAUUCAUGUGUGGCUUCUGAAAUUACAAACGCUAUAUAUAUGAUGUAUGUAUACAAAUCAAUAUCCUAUAAAAAUAAUAAUAAUAGUCAUUUAGAAAUUACCUGUAGUUCAGGGUCUUCAUAUAGAUUUUUACCUUUAAAUACUGCAAAGUUUCAGUGUAUCUUAUAUCAAAUCCAAAACAUCCAAUCAAAUGAACCAACUGUAACUUUCAACUCAUCCCU
RNAcentral lists this long non-coding RNA (311 nucleotides) under Ananas comosus (pineapple). RNAcentral's name for it is "long non-coding RNA (ACOM_LNC027195)". Lineage: Eukaryota; Viridiplantae; Streptophyta; Magnoliopsida; Poales; Bromeliaceae. The record is from RNAcentral.